This 705-nucleotide ribosomal RNA is filed under the name uncultured bacterium. RNAcentral describes it as "bacterial SSU rRNA". It matches the Rfam family "Bacterial small subunit ribosomal RNA", at positions 48 to 793 of the family's 1533-position model. The record is from RNAcentral.
CUUACACAUGCAAGUCGAACGGUUGUAGCAAUACAGCAGUGGCAGACGGGUGAGUAACACGUGGGAACCUUCCUAGGGGUACGGAACAACUCAGGAAACUUGAGCUAAUACCGUAUACGUCCGUGAGGAGAAAGAUUUAUCGCCCCUAGACGGGCCCGCGUAGGAUUAGGUAGUUGGUGAGGUAACGGCUCACCAAGCCUACGAUCCUUAGCUGAUCUGAGAGGAUGAUCAGCCACACUGGGACUGAGACACGGCCCAGACUCCUACGGGAGGCAGCAGUGGGGAAUCUUGGACAAUGGGCGCAAGCCUGAUCCAGCCAUGCCGCGUGAGUGAAGAAGGCCUUCGGGUUGUAAAGCUCUUUUACCAGGGACGAUAAUGACGGUACCUGGAGAAUAAGCCCCGGCAAACUUCGUGCCAGCAGCCGCGGUAAUACGAAGGGGGCUAGCGUUGUUCGGAAUUACUGGGCGUAAAGCGCACGUAGGCGGAUUGUAAGGUCAGAGGUGAAAUCCCGGAGCUCACUUCGGAACUGGCUUUGAUACUUGGCAAUCUAGAGUCCGGAAAGAGGUUAAUUGGAAUUCCCAGUGUAAAGGUGAAAUUCGUAGAUUUGGGGAAGAACACCAAGUGGCGAAGGCGGGUAACUGGUCCGGUACUGACGCUUGAGUGGCGAAAAGCGUUGGGGAAGGCAAAACCAGGGGAUUUAGGAAU